CUUAAUUAUAGGGACAACUUUUUAGGGGUGAAAACGGGACAGGUCGUGGACGGGACGGUCUUACCUCGGUAUUUGUUCCGUUUUGCUAGAACGGGUUAGACACCCUGGACCCCUGCGCCGUCGUUAGUAUCGCGGAAUUUUUACAAAAUCUUUUUUUGAAAUUUAGGGAUGUACAAAAUCUGUCGUUAAAUCCGUCUUUACAAGUCUGUUUUCUUGUAGUCGUACCUGAACGUUCAUUCUAGGCAGAGCUCUUAGGAUUUCUGAUUGUGAGGGGUGCUACUCGAUCAAUCAAGGUAUUGAUAGGCAAAUUAAUCUAUUGGUUUCAAGCAUUGAACUGUAAUCUUUCUGGACUAGAGCUAGUACUUCCCAAUCCGAAGCUCCUCUACCGGGCGGUGAGAAUUCGAAGGUCGACUAGAAUUUGGCUAGCACAAGGAUUGAUUUGGGCGGAUUGGAUGUUUCGUCGUUAUGCGAAAAGGAUAUCCUUAGCUCAUAUCGUGCGUAGUCUUAAGAUUGCAAGAUCCGACCGAAACAAAUAGCCACGAUAAUAAUUGCGAUAAUCAUGAGAAAUCGAUCAUUGAUCACAUGUUCGUAAAUUGUAGAUUCAAUCAACCACUGUGGUUUGUGGUCUAAGUUUAUGGAAACUACUGGGUGUCUACUAUGGCAGGUCAUGUGGAUUUCUCACUGGUCUAAUGAACUAUACAUUAAAGUUUUUGGUUCGAAUUUUACUUUAUACAUUUUCACUUAAAUUACUAGAUGAUAUAUUAUAUAAUUCUGGUAUAUCAUUUACAUAUGUAGAGAUGUAAAUGAUUAAUUGAUGAUUAAAAUUUAAAAGUUUAAAUGAAUCUAUUUUUUUGAAUUAAAAUAAAAUCAUUACAUCUAUUACAAAUUUAAACGAAUCUUGUAAAGAUGUGUUUUUUUUUCACUUUAGCUGGCGACUUUGCGUGGCUUCAGGAGAGAAG
RNAcentral lists this long non-coding RNA (959 nucleotides) under Zostera marina. RNAcentral's name for it is "long non-coding RNA (ZMAR_LNC005577)". The record is from RNAcentral. Lineage: Eukaryota; Viridiplantae; Streptophyta; Magnoliopsida; Alismatales; Zosteraceae.